AGCGUAUGUGUGGAAGGGAGAGACAGAGGCACCGAUUCUUCGACUUGUGCAACUUUUUUUUUGUUGUGCUCUGGUUGCUCAUACCUCGGUCCUUUUCCUUUUUCUUUUCGCGCUCUGACCUCCCCCCAUCCCCUUCCUCUCAUGUCUCUCGCUGUGUGUGUGUUGGAAAAGGUGGGCCGCAGAAGCUCGAGCGCGGGAAAAAGAAUUCGGGAGCUCGAAAAGGGGAGUGGAGAGGCGGGGGUGCGGUGGGGAAGCAAAAGCAUCAAAAGAAAUGAAGGGAAACUCAAAGCCAAACAAAAACAAAAAAAAAGCAAGCAAGUGUCUGCGCUUCUUCUCUGCCUGUAUGCCAUGUUUGUUUACAGCUCAUCGCGCCUUCGGCUGCGCACGUUCGUUUUCAUCAUUUUUUUUCGGUGCCUCCGGUGCGUUGGCUUGAAGCAUCCUUGCCUCCGCCUUACGUGGAAGAAGUUGUGGUCGCAAAUACUCAACAUACACGCAUAAACACACAGUUAUGCACGUAGACGAGGUUCAGAGUAUGUAAAAAGAUGAAUUUACUUCAUGCUGUGAGAGAAGGCAAGAAAAAACGUUUUUGGGCGGCUGGCCACGGAAUGCACAGCUGAAGAGAGGUGAGAAAAUAGGACAAGGACGACGAAUGGAGAACAGGCCUGCACAUGAACGUAAAAAAAAGUAGGAAGUGAUUCAAUGCUCCCCCUAAAAAAAAACGGAAAAAAAAACAGAAGAGAGGCGUUAUAAUCAAGGUGGAGGCGGCAAUGCUGCCUCCUCCUUGGCUACUCUGUUUUCUGCUUUCUUGCGUUGAUGUGAAUUUUGCGUGUAUCACACCUUCUUCAUUCUGCCGAUUACCCCCGAUUUCUGCUCCUGUUCGCUCUCUUUUCUCUCCCCACCCCGCCUUUUCCUCUCCUUUCAAUAGCCAUAUGUGGUGCUAUAUGCUCGUGCUUUAUUUUUUUUUCUAUUUGCUCCCCUCUCUUUUUUUUGCUGAGCGCUAGUAAUCCCCUCUCCCUCUUUCAGGCUUCGCUCGCUCUCUCUUCAUUGCCUGGGUAGCAAACCCACACACACACACACACACGCGUAAACAGACGUGUGCGUGUGUGCUACCCGAGUUUUUUUUUCGCUUGUCAUCGUCAUUUGCUCUUCAGAUGGGGGUAGGGAAGGGACAAGACGGCCACAUGAGCAUGUCUGCUUGCUUGUUUCCGCUCGAAGAAGCUGCACCUUCCUCUUCCCGCCGCCGACUUCUUUUCCACUUACUGAAGACCAAGGCGCACGCAUACUCAAACACGGAACCCUCUCCCCUGCAAAAUGAAGAAUGGACGACGUAGAACGAAAGAAAACGGAAAAGGAGCGAAUCGGGUGAUUCAUGCCAUAAGUCAGAUCGAAAAGAGUAACAUGCAAGCACAUAAAUGCCCUCCCCACUUUUUCCUUCCCCCCGUUCGCGCAACUGCUGUGUCGCGAGAUACGGGAAAAAGGGGUGGGCUCGAGGUCGUAGAAAACAAGAACGAAGACGUGUGCGUGUUCCCUC
Molecule: unclassified non-coding RNA, 1531 nt
Filed under: Leishmania donovani
Lineage: Eukaryota; Euglenozoa; Kinetoplastea; Trypanosomatida; Trypanosomatidae
Description: gene:unknown
Source: RNAcentral